CAGACUCCUACGGGAGGCAGCAGUGGGGAAUAUUGCACAAUGGGCGCAAGCCUGAUGCAGCAACCCCGCGUGAGGGACGACGGCCUUCGGGUUGUAAACCUCUUUUAGCAGGGAAGAAGCGAGAGUGACGGUACCUGCAGAAAAAGCACCGGCUAACUACGUGCCAGCAGCCGCGGUAAUACGUAGGGUGCAAGCGUUGUCCGGAAUUAUUGGGCGUAAAGAGCUCGUAGGCGGUCUGUCGCGUCUGCUGUGAAAACCCGAGGCUCAACCUCGGGCUUGCAGUGGGUACGGGCAGACUAGAGUGCGGUAGGGGAGAUUGGAAUUCCUGGUGUAGCGGUGGAAUGCGCAGAUAUCAGGAGGAACACCGAUGGCGAAGGCAGAUCUCUGGGCCGUAACUGACGCUGAGGAGCGAAAGCGUGGGGAGCAAACAGGCUUAGAUACCCUGGUAGUCCACGCCGUAAACGUUGGGAACUAGAUGUGGGGACCAUUCCACGGUCUCCGUGUCGUAGCUAACGCAUUAAGUUCCCCGCCUGGGGAGUACGGCCGCAAGGCUAAAACUCAAAGGAAUUGACGGGGGCCCGCACAAGCGGCGGAGCAUGCGGAUUAAUUCGAUGCAACGCGAAGAACCUUACCAAGGCUUGACAUAUACGAGAACGCGCUGGAGACAGCGAACUCUUUGGACACUCGUAUACAGGUGGUGCAUGGUUGUCGUCAGCUCGUGUCGUGAGAUGUUGGGUUAAGUCCCGCAACGAGCGCAACCCUCGUCCUAUGUUGCCAGCACGUCAUGGUGGGAACUCAUGGGAUACUGCCGGGGUCAACUCGGAGGAAGGUGGGGAUGAGGUCAAAUCAUCAUGCCCCUUAUGUCUUGGGCUUCACGCAUGCUACAAUGGCCGGUACAAUGGGCUGCGAUACCGCAAGGUGGAGCGAAUCCCAAAAAGCCGGUCUCAGUUCGGAUUGAGGUCUGCAACUCGACCUCAUGAAGUCGGAGUCGCUAGUAAUCGCAGAUCAGCAACGCUGCGGUGAAUACGUUCCCGGGCCUUGUACACACCGCCCGUCAAGUCAUGAAAGUCGGUAACACCCGAAGCCGGUGGCCUAACCUUUUGGAGGGAGCCGUCGAAGGUGGGAUCGGUGAUUAGGACUAAGUCGUAUCAACGAGGCCGACGGG
Molecule: ribosomal RNA, 1165 nt
Filed under: Agrococcus sp. NBtS-8
Lineage: Bacteria; Bacillati; Actinomycetota; Actinomycetes; Micrococcales; Microbacteriaceae
Description: bacterial SSU rRNA
Rfam family: Bacterial small subunit ribosomal RNA
Source: RNAcentral